Long non-coding RNA from Aegilops tauschii subsp. strangulata, 548 nucleotides. RefSeq lists it as uncharacterized. The record is from RefSeq and is a predicted model, not a curated record. Lineage: Eukaryota; Viridiplantae; Streptophyta; Magnoliopsida; Poales; Poaceae.
GUAGAGCACGCUUGGGUGAAACGGCUUUUAUUCCACGGCCCUCCUCUCUCAGUCCUGUCCUCGUUCCCCAUUUUCCUCCUCCCAAAUCAGGCCAGAUCCAGCGGUAACCACCGGAGGAGGCAAAGGUAACCGGCGCCACAACCGCAGCCAAAGAUGGGCGGCGAACAUUGGGAAGUGGAUCAACUGCCACCGUAGCUGAAGUUGGGCGGAGGAAGCUGAAGACGUUAGCCCGCGGGGGGGUUCGCUGCUCGUCGCCAGUGCAGUGAUUUGAGCUGAAAUAGAAGGAAGGAAGUACAUAAGAGUACUAAGAGGAUAGUUUAGAUGGUUUUGCUCAACCCUCUCAAAAUGCAUCUGUGUGGUUUCUCUGUUUUCUCUUAAGUUGUGUUCAUAUAAGUAACCAGUUGGCUAGUUUAUUGUAACAGUUGCACAGGGAUGCAAAUGUAGUUGGAUCACACAUAUACGUAUGUUAGUUGGCUAGCCAACUUAUGAAGUUGCACAAUAAGGGCUAACCAGUUGCACAUUCGAUGAUAUUCAGAUGGAUACACGGA